GACGAACGCUGGCGGCGUGCUUAACACAUGCAAGUCGAACGGAAAGGCCCUGCUUUUGUGGGGUGCUCGAGUGGCGAACGGGUGAGUAACACGUGAGUAACCUGCCCUUGACUUUGGGAUAACUUCAGGAAACUGGGGCUAAUACCGGAUAGGAGCUCCUGCUGCAUGGUGGGGGUUGGAAAGUUUCGGCGGUUGGGGAUGGACUCGCGGCUUAUCAGCUUGUUGGUGGGGUAGUGGCUUACCAAGGCUUUGACGGGUAGCCGGCCUGAGAGGGUGACCGGCCACAUUGGGACUGAGAUACGGCCCAGACUCCUACGGGAGGCAGCAGUGGGGAAUAUUGCACAAUGGGCGGAAGCCUGAUGCAGCAACGCCGCGUGCGGGAUGACGGCCUUCGGGUUGUAAACCGCUUUCACCUGUGACGAAGCGUGAGUGACGGUAAUGGGUAAGAAGCACCGGCUAACUACGUGCCAGCAGCCGCGGUGAUACGUAGGGUGCGAGCGUUGUCCGGAUUUAUUGGGCGUAAAGGGCUCGUAGGUGGUUGAUCGCGUCGGAAGUGUAAUCUUGGGGCUUAACCCUGAGCGUGCUUUCGAUACGGGUUGACUUGAGGAAGGUAGGGGAGAAUGGAAUUCCUGGUGGAGCGGUGGAAUGCGCAGAUAUCAGGAGGAACACCAGUGGCGAAGGCGGUUCUCUGGGCCUUUCCUGACGCUGAGGAGCGAAAGCGUGGGGAGCGAACAGGCUUAGAUACCCUGGUAGUCCACGCUGUAAACGGUGGGUACUAGGUGUGGGGUCCAUUCCACGGGUUCCGUGCCGUAGCUAACGCUUUAAGUACCCCGCCUGGGGAGUACGGCCGCAAGGCUAAAACUCAAAGGAAUUGACGGGGCCCCGCACAAGCGGCGGAGCAUGCGGAUUAAUUCGAUGAAACGCGUAGAACCUUACCUGGGUUUGACAUGGAUCGGGAGUGCUCAGAGAUGGGUGUGCCUCUUUUGGGGUCGGUUCACAGGUGGUGCAUGGCUGUCGUCAGCUCGUGUCGUGAGAUGUUGGGUUAAGUCCCGCAACGAGCGCAACCCUUGUUCACUGUUGCCAGCACGUUAUGGUGGGGACUCAGUGGAGACCGCCGGGGUCAACUCGGAGGAAGGUGGGGAUGACGUCAAGUCAUCAUGCCCCUUAUGUCCAGGGCUUCACGCAUGCUACAAUGGCUGGUACAGAGAGUGGCGAGCCUGUGAGGGUGAGCAAAUCUCGGAAAGCCGGUCUCAGUUCGGAUUGGGGUCUGCAACUCGACCUCAUGAAGUCGGAGUCGCUAGUAAUCGCAGAUCAGCAACGCUGCGGUGAAUACGUUCCCGGG
Molecule: ribosomal RNA, 1342 nt
Filed under: uncultured bacterium
Lineage: Bacteria
Description: 16S ribosomal RNA
Rfam family: Bacterial small subunit ribosomal RNA
Source: RNAcentral